GCCGGGCGUGGUAGCGCAUGCCUGUAAUCCCAGCUACUGGGGAGGCUGAGGCAGGAGAAUCGUUUGAACCUGGGAAGCACAGGUUGCAGUGAGCUGAGAUCGUGCCACUGCAUUCCAGCCUGGGUGACAGAGCAAGACUCUGUCUCCA
This 148-nucleotide non-coding RNA is filed under the name Homo sapiens (human). The record is from Rfam by way of RNAcentral. Lineage: Eukaryota; Metazoa; Chordata; Mammalia; Primates; Hominidae.